AAGUCGUAACAAGGUCUCCGUUGGUGAACCAGCGGAGGGAUCAUUACCGAGUUUACAACUCCCAAACCCAUGUGAACAUUACCUCUAUGUUGCUUCGGCGGAGCCGCCCCGGCGCCCGGAACCCCCUGCGGUCCCGCGGCCCGGAACCAAGGCGCCCGCCGGAGGCCACAAACUCUUCUGUUUUUACAGUUUCUUCUGAGUGUGCCGCAAGGCAGUAUACAAAUGAAUCAAAACUUUCAACAACGGAUCUCUUGGUUCUGGCAUCGAUGAAGAACGCAGCGAAAUGCGAUAAGUAGUGUGAAUUGCAGAAUUCAGUGAAUCAUCGAAUCUUUGAACGCACAUUGCGCCGCCAGAAUUCUGGCGGGCAUGCCUGUUCGAGCGUCAUUUCAACCCUCGAGCUCCCCUUUCGGGGGGAGCCCGGCGUUGGGGACCCGGCGCUAACAACGCCGGCCCCGAAAUGGAGUGGCGGCCCGUCCGCGGCGACCUCUGCGUAGUAACAACCACUCGCACCGGGACCCGGGCGCGGCCACGCCGUAAAACACCCCACCUUCCGAAUGUUGACCUCGAAUCAGGUAGGAAUACCCGCUGAACUUAA
Molecule: ribosomal RNA, 595 nt
Filed under: uncultured fungus
Lineage: Eukaryota; Fungi
Description: eukaryotic LSU rRNA
Rfam family: 5.8S ribosomal RNA (bases 232-384)
Source: RNAcentral